This 912-nucleotide ribosomal RNA is filed under the name uncultured bacterium. RNAcentral describes it as "bacterial SSU rRNA". It matches the Rfam family "Bacterial small subunit ribosomal RNA", at positions 1 to 892 of the family's 1533-position model. The record is from RNAcentral.
GCCCUUGAGUUUGAUCCUGGCUCAGAACGAACGCUGGCGGCGUGCUUAACACAUGCAAGUCGAACGCGAAAGGGACUUCGGUCCUGAGUAAAGUGGCGCACGGGUGAGUAACGCGUGGAUAAUCUACCCGAUGAUCUGGGAUAACAUUUCGAAAGGGGUGCUAAUACCGGAUAAGACCACGGGCUCUUCGGAGCUUGCGGUAAAAGGUGGGGACCUUCGGGCCUACCGUUAUCGGAUGAGUCCGCGUACCAUUAGCUAGUUGGUGGGGUAAGAGCCUACCAAGGCGACGAUGGUUAGCUGGUCUGAGAGGAUGAUCAGCCACACUGAAACUGAGACACGGUCCAGACUCCUACGGGAGGCAGCAGUGGGGAAUUUUGCGCAAUGGGGGAAACCCUGACGCAGCAACGCCGCGUGAGUGAUGAAGGCCUUCGGGUCGUAAAGCUCUGUCAGAGGGAAAGAAGUGCAGUGGUGCUAAUACCAUCAUUGCUUGACGGUACCCUCAAGGGAAGCACCGGCUAACUCCGUGCCAGCAGCCGCGGUAAUACGGAGGGUGCGAGCGUUGUUCGGAAUUAUUGGGCGUAAAGCGCGUGUAGGCGGUUUUUUAAGUCUGAUGUGAAAGCCCCGGGCUCAACCUGGGAAGUGCAUUGGAAACUGGGAGACUUGAAUACGGGAGAGGGUAGUGGAAUUCCUAGUGUAGGAGUGAAAUCCGUAGAUAUUAGGAGGAACACCGGUGGCGAAGGCGGCUACCUGGACCGAUAUUGACGCUGAGACGCGAAAGCGUGGGGAGCAAACAGGAUUAGAUACCCUGGUAGUCCACGCCGUAAACGAUGAGUACUAGGUGUUGCGGGUAUUGACCCCUGCAGUGCCGCAGCUAACGCAAUAAGUACUCCGCCUGGGAAGUACGGUCGCAAG